Long non-coding RNA from Daphnia pulex (common water flea), 322 nucleotides. RefSeq lists it as uncharacterized. The transcript has 2 exons. NCBI's taxonomy places the organism in Eukaryota, Metazoa, Arthropoda, Branchiopoda, Diplostraca, Daphniidae. The record is from RefSeq and is a predicted model, not a curated record.
CAAUCUUUAUAGGAUCGUAAAGUGAGCGUUUGUUACUCGACGGCCAUCCUAUUUACUCCCAUCAAUCUUGUACAAAACACCGAAUUGACAGUCACUGAUGAAUGGCAAAAUCUCAAGGAGGAGUCGAAAGAAAGAUAAACAAAGUGGAAACCAAGUUUUUUUACCAAAACAAAUUUUUGCUGAUAAUCAGAUGCAGGAAAACGAUCGAAAUUCUUCCAAGGUGGAAGAAUCAAAACUUAUUUUGACCAAAGAAUUGGAAGAGACCCAAAAAACUCUGGAAAACGAGACACUAGCCUCCAACCAAACGACUCAAAGCUUAGCU